CCGGAGAGGGAGCCUGAGAAACGGCUACCACAUCUAAGGAAGGCAGCAGGCGCGCAAAUUACCCAAUCCUAAUACAGGGAGGUAGUGACAAGAAAUAACAAUACAGGACAUUUUGGUUUUGUAAUUGGAAUGAGUUAAGUAUAAACCCCUUUACAAGUAUCAAUUGGAGGGCAAGUCUGGUGCCAGCAGCCGCGGUAAUUCCAGCUCCAAUAGCGUAUAAUAAAGUUGUUGCAGUUAAAAAGCUCGUAGUUGGAUUUCUGUUAAUAAUUUAUAUAAUAUAUUUUGAUAGAUAUUUAUAUAAUAUUAACAUAAUUCAUAUUACUAUUUUUUUUUAGUAUAUGAAAUUUUACUUUGAGAAAAUUAGAGUGCUUAAAGCAGGCAUAUGUCUUGAUUACUCCAGCAUGGAAUAAUAUUAAAGAUUUUUAUCUUUCUUAUUGGUACUAAGAUAAGAAUAAUGAUUAAUAGGGACAGUUGGGGGCAUUUGUAUUUAACAGUCAGAGGUGAAAUUCUUAGAUUUGUUAAAGACAAACUAA
RNAcentral lists this ribosomal RNA (533 nucleotides) under Cryptosporidium cuniculus. Its description in RNAcentral is "SSU rRNA". It matches the Rfam family "Eukaryotic small subunit ribosomal RNA", at positions 383 to 943 of the family's 1831-position model. The record is from RNAcentral. Lineage: Eukaryota; Apicomplexa; Conoidasida; Eucoccidiorida; Cryptosporidiidae.